Molecule: ribosomal RNA, 377 nt
Filed under: uncultured bacterium
Lineage: Bacteria
Description: bacterial SSU rRNA
Rfam family: Bacterial small subunit ribosomal RNA
Source: RNAcentral
UACGGAGGGGGCAAGCGUUGUUCGGAUUUACUGGGCGUAAAGGGUGUGUAGGCGGCCGCGCAAGUCUGGUGUGAAAUCUUCACCGCUCAACGGGAAGAGGUCACUGGAAACUGCGCGGCUCGAGGAUGGUAGAGGCAAGCGGAAUUCCUGGUGUAGCGGUGGAAUGUGUAGAUAUCAGGAAGAACACCGGUGGCGAAGGCGGCUUGCUGGGCCAUUACUGACGCUGAGACACGAAAGCGUGGGGAGCAAACGGGAUUAGAUACCCCGGUAGUCCACGCUGUAAACGGUGCGCACUAGGCGUGAGGGGUAUCGACCCCCCUUGUGCCGAAGCAAACGCAUUAAGUGCGCCGCCUGGGGAGUACGGCCGCAAGGUUGAA